AGAUCAUGACCUGAGCCAAAGUCGGACGCUUAACCGACUGAGCCACCCAGGCGCCCCAAUGAAGCCUACUUUAAAAGAAGUCAUUUUUCAUGCUUGUCUUUUUGUCCACAUGAAGGUUGGAAUGAAACCCGCCUCUGGUCCAGAGUCAGCAGCUUCUUCUAGCCUCUCCUCGCCUGUCUGUAACUCACUCUCCAGUACCCGAAAUUGUGGCAUUUGUCUCUUCGUUACCCAUUCACUAGAGCCAGAAUCUCUGUUUUCUUGUAUUUUGUUUCCUAAAUGAAGCAGUGUCUCCUAUGGGUGUAGCUUUCCACAGAUAUUGUUGAAUUGAAAUGAACUUCAAAGAGAAAGCUUUUGGAUUAUUUCUGUUAGCUAGAUACUUAGACAGGCCGUCGGGUCCAGGCCGCAUGCCCCAGGACAGCUUUGAUGUUUACCAUCAGGAGGCCUCAAAGCACGGCCUUGCUCUCAUGCACCUGUUCUCGCCCACGUCCCACCCCCAGAUCAAGGGCCUCCAGGAUGAGGCAGGGUUUCAUCCCGACCCUCCUGAGCUCAGGAAGGCUUCUGCAUGGGCCAACGAGCCUCAACCAACUGGAGUUACUGUUUACUCAUUAUGUCACUUUCUCAAACUUACUCUGCAUCAGGCAAGUGCUGAGGACAGUCAGGAAAUCCACCUGGGCUGAGUCCCACAGGAGAACGCAUGUGCACAGCACGCCUGGGUGGCUCAGGUAGUGAUCUCCCUGUCUUGGGACCAAGCCCUGCUUGGGCGCUGUGCUGGGCAUGGAGCCUGCUUGGGAUUCUCCCUCUCUCUCUCUUGCUCUCUCUCUCUGUCCCUCCCCCACUCUGUCAGAAUAAAUAACCUUUUAAGGUCUCCUAAAAAAGGAGAAUGCAUGUGCACACUGAUUGUCCCUCUGUGAGCUGGGAAUGAGGCGGCUCCAAUGAAGGAACAGUUGUCACUGUGUGGCAGGUGUCAGGGUGGCUGAUGGGAGCAGGCUCCUGCAUGGGGGUGGCUGGGCAUGCGUGUGGGGAGGAUCUCGGGGAAGGGGCUGGCUGUGGGUGAGGGAACUUGGGCUGCUGCUCCAGAUGAGGUGUGCUGAUGCCUUGCAUCUAGGCCUCCUGCCCCCGUUGGCCUGACAAAGGCAGCCCAUGUCCCCUCUGCUCUCAGCGGGCCCUUGGCAUCCGGCACAGGGCCCAGCCUGCUGAGUGACGUGCGAAUGAACAAGUGCCUGGGUGCGGUAGCGCAGGAGGCAAAGCCAGCCCGGAGGCCCCUCCUCUCAGUGGAUGGGAGGACCAGCAACGUCCAGGAUGCCGAGAGGCCACGGGGAGCUCCGGGAUGGCUGAGUUGAUGCAGCAGAGGCCCCUCUGUUCAGAACCUGCCUUCCGCUGUUGAGUUCAUGUCUGUCCUACAGUCUACGUUUUGCAUGUUUUCCAUGGGUACCUUUGGGGACACCAACGUUGUCACGGAGAUUCAGAAAGGUCGCCUGGAGGAGGAGACAUAGCUGGACCCUGAUGCUAAGGGCAGCUGGUCUGCGUGUGGCCAGCCAUGGGACACCGGUCACUAGGAGGGCCACAUGGCUCAUGGUUUCAUGCCCACCCUCACCCAGGCCAUCUUCUCUUUCCUUCUUGAACUCAGAUGAACAUGGUUGAGAACAUCGGAAGCUGGUGUAGGGCCUGGCCACCCCUGGUCACCUUCUGAGGGCUUCCUGUCUGGGAGCAUUGCCUUCACCCAGCAGCUAAAUACACGUAGCUACCUAUGUGAUGGCUUCUAUGACAUGCAUGCAGCGCGCACAUCCGGACACACCCACUGACCCCCUUCCUGCCCCUGGAGUACCUGGGGUCAGAACACGUGUCUCCCCAUCUCCAGAGCUCCUGAGGGAUGUCUGCUGAAAAGAGGUUUUGAUGAAGGAGGUCUUAGAAACACACGCUUUCGGGUCCAGUUAAUAUCAGUGCUGAGCCAGCCUGUCCUCACCACACGCACCGCACGUGGCACCCACCUCUCCUGUCGCUACACCUCAGCAGAUGCGCCCUCUGCUUCCUUCUCAGUGGACACUCAACUGGCCACUGCUGGUGUACAUUGAAGUCGGGUAAACUUUCUGUCUUCACGCAGGGCAGGAAUAGAGGCCUGUGCGCUGCUCUGCCAGUUCCAGAACUGCAGUUACGGGGUCAGAGGGCACGUACACCCGAAACUCUGCUAGGUUCUAAGUGUCUUUUGGUAGAAACUCAAAGCACUUUCAGCGAAAUGCUUCGGAGGAAGCCCAGAAGGCACGUGUGAGAGAGCCGGCGCGGGCCCUCUCCCUGGGGCGGGGGGGGACUUGAGCCCAGGAGGCGGCUCUGCCUCCCCGCGGCCCCUCUAGCGCCUGGAUGCACAGGAUUUGUUUCUUCACUUCCUUGCUGACGGCACUUGGGUUGUUUCUGCUUUUGAUUUUUAUGAACAAAGCUGCUGUGGACAUUGUCGUACAAGCCACUUCGCAGGCAUAGGCCUUCUUGGGUGAGCUCCGAAGGUGGACCGGCUGGACCACGUGGGAUGUGACAAAUAUACAAAAUGCCUACCCCUCGCCUGGUGCUAUGGAGAUGUUGGCAGAGGGACACCCCGACAGCCUACUCCUGCCCCAGAGCCCAGGACGUUUAAUCAACCAGAACAGCUCAUUCGUCUCAGAAGGCUGGCCACGAUGAGUUGAACGCAAUAUGAGCGCUGGGCAGCCGAGUCAACACAGUUACAGGAUUUCGUGAGACGGACACAUACUGACAAUCUACUACUGGCACUGAAUCACUCAGAGACCUUAACUGGAGGCCCCAGCAGCUGGGAAGGUGCUUUCUCCUGAUGGAACUUUGAGUUGAAAAACCCUCUCUUCGGCUGUGCCCUGUCUAUUGUUCAGAAAAUUCAAUGAGCUCUUCACUUCAGCACAUUCUGCCAUACUCACAGCUCGAAAAGUUCAUGCUAGACUGCGGACACAGAUCACAAGACAAGUCAGAGUUCCGCUGGGAUGAAGGGUGUCCCAGUGUCUCCUGCGGGCACUUCCAGCACCUUCUCAGGCACAGGUGUCCGACCUCCCGCGCUCCUGGUCACCCGGCCCCAGCCCCCUG
Felis catus (domestic cat) is the source of this 3078-nucleotide long non-coding RNA. RefSeq lists it as uncharacterized. NCBI's taxonomy places the organism in Eukaryota, Metazoa, Chordata, Mammalia, Carnivora, Felidae. The transcript has 6 exons. The record is from RefSeq and is a predicted model, not a curated record.